This 482-nucleotide ribosomal RNA is filed under the name uncultured bacterium. RNAcentral's name for it is "partial 16S ribosomal RNA". It matches the Rfam family "Bacterial small subunit ribosomal RNA", at positions 29 to 507 of the family's 1533-position model. The record is from RNAcentral.
AUUGAACGCUGGCGGCAUGCCUUACACAUGCAAAUCGAACGGUAACGGGCCUUCGGUUGCCGACGAGUGGCGAACGGGUGCGGAAUACAUCGGAACGUGCCCCAUCGUGGUGGAAAACGGGUCGAAAGCUGAGCUAAUACCUCAUACGAUCUACGGUUGAAAGCCGGGGACCGCAAGGCCUUGCGCGGACGUAGCUGCCGAUGGCGGAUUAGCUAGCGGGGAAGGUAAUAGCUUACCAAGCCAACGAUCCGUAGGCGACCGGAGAGGAUGAUCGGCCACACUGGAACUGAGACACGGUCCAGACUCCUACGGGAGGCAGCAGUAGGGAAUUUUCCGCAAGGGGCGAAAGCUUGACGGAGCAAUGCCGCGUGAGGGAUGAAGGCCUUCGGAUUGUAAACUGCUGUUAUGAGGGACGAACAAAUGUGUAAGAAACCAGGCACGUCAUGACGGUACCGAAUCAGAAAGCACCGGCUAACUACGUG